AUACAUGUCAUGCUUAGUACGGCGAGUGAAGCGGCAAAAGCUCAAAUUUGAAAUCUGGCACCUUCGGUGUCCGAGUUGUAAUUUGAAGAAGGUAACUUUGGAGUUGGCUCUUGUCUAUGUUCCUUGGAACAGGACGUCACAGAGGGUGAGAAUCCCGUGCGAUGAGAUGCCCAAUUCUAUGUAAAGUGCUUUCGAAGAGUCGAGUUGUUUGGGAAUGCAGCUCUAAGUGGGUGGUAAAUUCCAUCUAAAGCUAAAUAUUGGCGAGAGACCGAUAGCGAACAAGUACAGUGAUGGAAAGAUGAAAAGAACUUUGAAAAGAGAGUGAAAAAGUACGUGAAAUUGUUGAAAGGGAAGGGCUUGAGAUCAGACUUGGUAUUUUGCGAUCCUUUCCUUCUUGGUUGGGUUCCUCGCAGCUUACUGGGCCAGCAUCGGUUUGGAUGGUAGGAUAAUGACUAAGGAAUGUGGCUCUACUUCGGUGGAGUGUUAUAGCCUUGGUUGAUACUGCCUGUCUAGACCGAGGACUGCGUCUUUUGACUAGGAUGUUGGCAUAAUGAUCUUAAGCCACCCGUCUGAAAACCAGGGGAAAAAAAAAACGAAACGAGAAAAGGUAAAAAUAAAAACAAAAGAAAAUAAAAAGAACGGGU
This 644-nucleotide ribosomal RNA is filed under the name Debaryomyces hansenii. Its description in RNAcentral is "LSU rRNA". It matches the Rfam family "Eukaryotic large subunit ribosomal RNA", at positions 66 to 664 of the family's 3401-position model. The record is from RNAcentral. Lineage: Eukaryota; Fungi; Ascomycota; Pichiomycetes; Serinales; Debaryomycetaceae.